Molecule: long non-coding RNA, 831 nt
Filed under: Homo sapiens (human)
Lineage: Eukaryota; Metazoa; Chordata; Mammalia; Primates; Hominidae
Description: HSALNT0409277
Source: RNAcentral
GGUGGGUUGGUGGUGGGCUUUUGUCCAUCUUCUUUAUGAGAUCCAUAAGAUAGUUCCAUGAUUCUAGGGGAGGGCAGACAUGAGACAACCUGAAGAAACAUCAAGCACAGCCUCAGGAAUAAAAUGUGAAAUUUCUAAGGGUCCAAAAUAAUCUGCAGGAUUCCUCAGGCUGCCUAGACAUUGUCAUGGCAAUCCACAGUGACCCUCAUUGGCAAUACUGGACACUGUUUUCAAGCAUGUCAUCGCAAAAGACGUCCUCUGAGACACUGUCUGAACCUGAUAUACACCUGUGAGAGGCGAGUCUGUGGUGUGAAAACACUGUUCCAACUUGCUCUUGCUAUUGUCAUGGCUCCUGCCUUUCCCAGAGGGCCACUGCAAGGCCCAGGAGGAAGAGAGGCAGUGAGGUCAAGAGCCCAGCCAUUGUUUGCUGAUGUCAGCCUCUGGGUCUCAGGAAUGGAGUCAGAAGAUCAGUGACCAACUCACAGCCUCCAAAUGCCUCCUUCUUCAGCGGAACCCGACCACAGACAUGACACAAAAGGGUCUUGAGGCAGGAUGAGAGUUCUGAAAUCCAGGCACCUGAGCCUGCAUGAUGGAUGCAUUUGUGCCAGCCUCAGGGCACCAGGCCUGAUGGUGAGCUCUGACCACCAUCAUAAUGAAUGUCAUCAUUGCCUAGUGACAAGUCCAGGCGGCUUGGCAGAGAAGACAUCCGUGGAGGUGAGUCGGUGGUGAAUUCUCGCUUGUCUUCUCUGAGGGAUCUACGACAUACUCUCAUGAUUCCAGGAUAGGGCAGAUGUGAGCCAGCCUGAAGAAACGUGAAGCACAGAUUCAUGA